CCCUUAGAUGUUCUGGGCUGCACGCGCGCUACACUGAAGCGUUCAACGAGUAUUUCACCUUGCCCGGGAGGGUUGGGUAAUCUUUUUAAAACGCUUCGUGAUGGGGAUAGAUUAUUGCAAUUAUUAAUCUUCAACGAGGAAUUCCUAGUAAGCGCGAGUCAUCAGCUCGUGCUGAUUACGUCCCUGCCCUUUGUACACACCGCCCGUCGCUACUACUGAUUGGAUGUUUAAGCGAGGUUCUCGAACUGCUAGUGACUGAUCUUCGGUGAGGUCGCAGUGUGGGAAGUGAACCUAGCUUUGGUGUCUAGAGGAAGUAAAAGUCGUAACA
Molecule: ribosomal RNA, 328 nt
Filed under: uncultured eukaryote
Lineage: Eukaryota
Description: partial 18S ribosomal RNA
Rfam family: Eukaryotic small subunit ribosomal RNA
Source: RNAcentral